GCCGAGGUGGUGAAACUGGCAACCACGUAACACUCAAAAUGUUAUGGGCGUAAGCCCUUGAGGGUUCGAGUCCCUCCCUCGGCACAA
RNAcentral lists this transfer RNA (87 nucleotides) under Parcubacteria group bacterium CG1_02_44_65. RNAcentral describes it as "tRNA-Leu". It matches the Rfam family "tRNA". Rfam says of the family: Transfer RNA (tRNA) molecules are approximately 80 nucleotides in length. Their secondary structure includes four short double-helical elements and three loops (D, anti-codon, and T loops). The record is from RNAcentral. RNAcentral also lists the same sequence under 2 other names.